Oncorhynchus mykiss (rainbow trout) is the source of this 119-nucleotide ribosomal RNA. The record is from Ensembl. NCBI's taxonomy places the organism in Eukaryota, Metazoa, Chordata, Actinopteri, Salmoniformes, Salmonidae.
GCUUACGGCCACACCGGCCUGAGUACGCCUGAUCUCGUCCGAUCUCGGAACCUAAGCAGGGUCGGGCCUGGUUAGUACUUGGAUGGGAGACCGCCUGGGGAUACCAGGUGCUGUACGCU